UUACACUUCCUGCUGUAACGGACUGAUACAGGAGGAAUAUAUGUGUAUAUGUAGACAGGGGACAUUUUAAACACGGUGUUUAAACCCUAAUGAGUUAAAUACCGAAUAUGUGGCGCUCUGAAAUGUGGAAACACUUCAGUUAAAGUAUCAGAUGUGUUUAUAUGAGGAACAGGAAAGUCUGAAUCUACAGAAAGAGAUAAAGAUGGCGACCGCAAGCAAUGAGUUUAAACUCAUUGCUCCCAGAGCAGAGUUUAAUGACUCUGCUGUCACUCUCUCAUGUCGACUCUCUCCUGAAAUCAGUGCUGUUGACUUGGAGAUCCGGUGGUUUAAGGGGACAGACUGUGUUUGUGUUUAUAAGAACAGUAAGGUGACAGAGGGGAGAGGUUAUGAGGGCAGAGUGAGUCUGUUCACUCAGGAGCUGGAGAGAGGAAACGUCUCCUUACAGCUGAGAAACUGUACAUGGUCAGAUUUAGGAUAUUACCUCUGUCAGGUCACUGAUGGAGACAGAACAGAAGAGAUUACAGUAUUUAUGGGUAAGUGUUCCUGAUCUCCACACUGUAUAAACUCCACAUCAUCAUCUGUGCUUCUCAUCUCAGUACAUAAACACACUCAGUAUUCAGUGUGAGAUUCAGUAUACAGGCUGCUAAUGUGGAGUGAAGAUCAUCUGAGUUGAAUUAACAGUAACUCUAUUUUUCACUCUUCUACACACCUGCACAAGGGCUUAAAAGCAGCAGCUUGUACAAAUAUGAAGUAACUAGGGAUUUAUUUAUCUAAAUUUAUUUAUCUAUUAAUCAGAGAUUGACUGAAUAUCAGUUUAAACUAAAACAAAGACAUUUUUUACAUCAGAAAGGAAAUUAAAUUACACACAAAAUGUGACAUUUAAAUUAUAACAAUUUCUGAAUAUCCAGUAGAUCAGACUACAUCACUGCCAAAUACAGCACUGAGAACCAAACUACACACAUUUAGGUUAAAGGUAGAGGAAAAAAACACAGUCAGGCUGAUGAUUAAGACUUUUGGUGUAAGUAUAUCUGUCUAGUGACUAAUGUGAGAUGUAUAACAGUCCAGAGAACACAGAUUAGCUCGUCAUGUAGUCAGCUUAGCUCCUGCUAACAUGCUGUGUUUGUAUUUCUCUACUGCUGUAAGUCUGUAAAUUCAGAGUGGAGACUAAUAUCAGGAGUUACAGGUUGUAGUGUUGGACUUUUCCAACAUGAUUUGUUUUAAAACUAACACAGUAAGGUACAGACCUGGAGAACACAAACUGUAUUGUCCUUGUAACUGUGUUAAUAACAUGAAAUGAGAAACUGAACGACUCCCACUACAAUGUAGACUCUCAUCUUUCAUUAGUCGUGUUUACACACAAAGAUUUUUACCAGUAUGAAUGAAUUCAGCCAGACUGCAGAUUCCUAAUGAACUGUUUCUGUGUGUCUUAAAAUGGACUCUUUUCAUUUAUAUACAUGUUACAUGUGAUCUGAUCCAAAUCUAUCUUGGUGCUCAGAGCUCUAGGUUAGUGCUUCUGAAUGAUUAAAUCAUUUAUCACUAUAUUUUAAAAUAGAAAGUAUUAAUCAGGGAAGAAUCGAUAUUUACAUUUACAUUUAUGCCAUUUAGCAGACAAUCUUAUCCAGAGUGACUUACAUUUUAUUUCACCACAUCCC
Molecule: long non-coding RNA, 1652 nt
Organism: Tachysurus vachellii
Lineage: Eukaryota; Metazoa; Chordata; Actinopteri; Siluriformes; Bagridae
Exons: 3
Source: RefSeq, a predicted model, not a curated record